Xenia sp. Carnegie-2017 is the source of this 230-nucleotide long non-coding RNA. RefSeq lists it as uncharacterized. The record is from RefSeq and is a predicted model, not a curated record. NCBI's taxonomy places the organism in Eukaryota, Metazoa, Cnidaria, Anthozoa, Malacalcyonacea, Xeniidae. The transcript is spliced from 3 exons.
AUAUAAGUAAGCAUGGAGAUUUCGGAAAAGAUGGAGGGAAGUUUUGCGACUCCCGGUCAUUUUUCUUUGGAUAUUAUCGAAGAAGGCCGUCGAGAUAUUUAUAAAUGGGGAGAGAAGAGGCGGUCAAAACGCUCUGGUUUUCACGGAGCGCUUUAUAAAACCACGAAAUUGUUUAUUACAAGAUCGCUUGUUCAAGCUUCUUGCACGAAUUUCAUGUUUGUUGUGUUGUU